This 497-nucleotide ribosomal RNA is filed under the name uncultured bacterium. RNAcentral describes it as "partial 16S ribosomal RNA". It matches the Rfam family "Bacterial small subunit ribosomal RNA", at positions 28 to 507 of the family's 1533-position model. The record is from RNAcentral.
GAUGAACGCUGGCGGCGUGCCUAAUACAUGCAAGUAGAACGCUGAAGGAAGGAGCUUGCUCUUUCCGGAUGAGUUGCGAACGGGUGAGUAACGCGUAGGUAACCUGCCUGGUGGCGGGGGAUAACUAUUGGAAACGAUAGCUAAUACCGCAUAACAGUAGAUGUUGCAUGAUAUCUACUUAAAAGGUGCAAUUGCACCACUACCAGAUGGACCUGCGUUGUAUUAGCUAGUUGGUGAGGUAACGGCUCACCAAGGCGACGAUACAUAGCCGACCUGAGAGGGUGAUCGGCCACACUGGGACUGAGACACGGCCCAGACUCCUACGGGAGGCAGCAGUAGGGAAUCUUCGGCAAUGGACGGAAGUCUGACCGAGCAACGCCGCGUGAGUGAAGAAGGUUUUCGGAUCGUAAAGCUCUGUUGUAAGAGAAGAACGAGUGUGAGAGUGGAAAGUUCACACUGUGACGGUAUCUUACCAGAAAGGGACGGCUAACUACGUG